UAGUGGAGAUCCUGGUUUUAAAAAUAAAACAUUAUGGAUUCAGCGGCAUGAGUGUGCAUUUUCCAAAUGUAGCCCAUGGAAGAGAAGACGAUUGCAAAUUAUACAUAAACACACACCCAGAGGCCUCCAUGAUCUGACACAUGUUGGCCACUUUAUCACAUUUUGGGAUCCAGAGUAUACAUUUGCAUACUGAUGUCUCAAAACAAAAACCUGCAAUGAAGAUAACCUGGUUAACCUUUACUGGGCUUGGCUUUUCUCCAUUUUAUUAACUACCAUAGAACACCUCUUUACAUCCCAGACCCCAUGAAAUACUUGUAAAAACCAACAUUGUAGAAAUUUACAAGGUUGUCACACACUUUACCAUGUUUUGUGUGAUCCUGAUUCAAAUGGAGUUACUUCUGGUCCCCUCUUUCCUCAUCUGGAAGACAAGGAUAAUAUCCAUCUCCAAAAUGUGGGACUUAAACCAGAUAUUGCACGUAAACGAUUUUCAUGUAACCAGUACAGGGUGGACCUUUCCUGACUAUUAAUUUUCACCUUCAUUCUUGAUAUUUCUCUGCAACACACUGUACCCACAAAGAAAG
Molecule: long non-coding RNA, 581 nt
Filed under: Marmota monax (woodchuck)
Lineage: Eukaryota; Metazoa; Chordata; Mammalia; Rodentia; Sciuridae
Source: RNAcentral